RNAcentral lists this microRNA precursor (100 nucleotides) under Marmota monax (woodchuck). Lineage: Eukaryota; Metazoa; Chordata; Mammalia; Rodentia; Sciuridae. The record is from RNAcentral.
AGUGGGAUAACUGAGUCAAAUUGUUCCAUUCCAAGUUUUCUUAGAAAUCUCCAUACUGCUUUCCAUAGUGGAUGCAUCAAUCUGCAAUCCCACCAGCAAU